RNAcentral lists this small RNA (157 nucleotides) under uncultured Butyrivibrio sp. RNAcentral describes it as "Clostridiales-1 RNA". It matches the Rfam family "Clostridiales-1 RNA". Lineage: Bacteria; Bacillati; Bacillota; Clostridia; Lachnospirales; Lachnospiraceae. The record is from RNAcentral.
AGGUUUCAAAAGUCAUAAAUGCGUACAUGCUUGCAUGUUAAGCAUUUUGAAUUUUGAAACCGAACAAACAUGAGGAAUAAGCAAUUUACGUAGUAAAUUCGCGGUUUCCGAAUGGUUGUAGAAUUGCGGGAAUGACGGUAGUCAUGGAGCAAUUCGU